ACAAGGUGCAUGCCUAGGCGCAUAUGGCGAGGGCUUGGAAAAUAUCGCGUGACUUUCUCCUGUGGAGGCAUUAGAGUUGGAGCCUAAAACGCACCUUUAAUAACUAUGCUUACGUGCAUGGGGCACAAAGAGAGAGAGAGCCACAAACACAAUGAGCCAGACUGAAAAAAGAAAGGAGGAGAGGAGACUUCUUCCUCUGUCUCCCCCACCCACUUGGGUUUUCCUUUUUCUUUUAUUCUUUCCUUUCCGUUCCCCUGUGAGAAUCUGAAUUUAAAUUUCAGAUCCACAAUCUGAACGACUGAACUGAAUCAACUGGAACCUGGACGACCUAGGAUCUUUUUAGUUUUUUGCCAUUUUGCUGUUGCGCUUGAUGUUCUACUUUUACUGCUGGAUGUUAGGAGCUGCUGAUAUUGAUUUUGCAAGUCUUCCUUCUGUCUUG
RNAcentral lists this unclassified non-coding RNA (439 nucleotides) under Hevea brasiliensis (rubber tree). Lineage: Eukaryota; Viridiplantae; Streptophyta; Magnoliopsida; Malpighiales; Euphorbiaceae. The record is from RNAcentral.